GAUCUCGUAGCUCAGUUGGUAGAGCAUCCCGAUUUUAUCGGGAGGGCCCUGGGUUCGAAAUCUAUCUUAUUCA
Molecule: transfer RNA, 73 nt
Filed under: Niastella koreensis GR20-10
Lineage: Bacteria; Pseudomonadati; Bacteroidota; Chitinophagia; Chitinophagales; Chitinophagaceae
Description: tRNA-Lys
Rfam family: tRNA (bases 1-63)
About the family: Transfer RNA (tRNA) molecules are approximately 80 nucleotides in length. Their secondary structure includes four short double-helical elements and three loops (D, anti-codon, and T loops).
Source: RNAcentral